This 253-nucleotide ribosomal RNA is filed under the name uncultured bacterium. Its description in RNAcentral is "partial 16S ribosomal RNA". It matches the Rfam family "Bacterial small subunit ribosomal RNA", at positions 524 to 776 of the family's 1533-position model. The record is from RNAcentral.
UACGGAGGGUGCAAGCGUUAUCCGGAUUCACUGGGUUUAAAGGGUGUGUAGGCGGGUAUUUAAGUCAGUGGUGAAAUCUCCGGGCUCAACCCGGAAACUGCCAUUGAUACUAUUUAUCUUGAAUCUUGUUGAGGUAGGCGGAAUACAUCAUGUAGCGGUGAAAUGCUUAGAUAUGAUGUAGAACACCGAUUGCGAAGGCAGCUUACUAAACAAGCAUUGACGCUGAGGAGCGAAAGUGUGGGGAGCGAACAGG